Molecule: long non-coding RNA, 643 nt
Filed under: Vitis vinifera (wine grape)
Lineage: Eukaryota; Viridiplantae; Streptophyta; Magnoliopsida; Vitales; Vitaceae
Description: long non-coding RNA (VVIN_LNC000704)
Source: RNAcentral
GUGUACUUGAUAUUGUUGCCCGAGUCAACUCGUCCCGCGUUGGGUUGAAACAGGCAAAAGGCGAGUGUCUCGGGCCUGGGAUCGCUCUGGUACGCGAAGAAAGGGUAUGGGUUGAUGGCAAAAGGCGAGCCAGUGUUUCUCUGGAACUCCAACAAGCCCCUCAUUGUGUCCGAAGUCGCCGGGUUGAAAGCGCCGGAGGAGGGCGGGUCAGACUGAGUCAACACGGCCAUGGAGUGCACGGUUGAGACCUUGAUUUUUCCUCCCAGUGACGCCGCGUUGAGGGCAUUCUGGACAUUUUGCAUCGCCGGCAAGAGCUGCGACAUCAGGUUCUGGUCGGUGGAGCUCAUGACCUCGUUGCCAACAGUGAUGAGGAUAAUCUUGCUUGCAGGGUAGUAGGCGAUGACGUUUGAGUUCACCCACUGAGCCGCGAAGUUCGGAUCGGAGGCUAGGGCGGGGAUGUCGCCGUUGGCGGCGCCGAUAACGAUCCCGAUACCAGUGUUGGCAAGAGCUUUGAUGAUUCCCGGAUCGGCGCCGUAUAAUCUGACCUUUUCAAUUGACGUGGAUUUGAGCAGCUUCGCGGUGGCCUCAGGCGGCGGUAGGUUGUUGGCGACUUGCCCAUAGUUGAUGCCGAUGAAAGACUGCG